GGCACAUCGUGUAAGGAAGACCUUGCCUUAAACCUGUUAAGGUAGGCGACCUCACAAAGGCGGUGCCAGUCCCACCCUAGUGAGUAGCAAGGUCAGUCCCACCUAUCAUAGACAACCACUAAAUAGAAAGAAGAAGAAAUUGAAAAGGUACCUGGUUGCCUCCUACUCGAUGAAGUGUAGGCUAUUAAGUGCUAAUUAAGGUGGAUGUCUUUUAUUGGUUUGGCACUGCUAUGUACUAAUAUUAUUAAAAUGGGCUGAUGGGGUUAGACCAAAUUUAGAGCUAAUAUAUUUUAUUAGUAUUUUUUUGCAUUCGUUUUUUAAUCGUAUUUUGCAUAAGGGGUGUUUGGUUCACCUUUUGAGUACAACUGAUAAUUGAUAGAGAUUUAAAUAGGUUAACCGAAGCAUUUGGCAAUCUUAAAAAAAU
Molecule: unclassified non-coding RNA, 424 nt
Filed under: Hevea brasiliensis (rubber tree)
Lineage: Eukaryota; Viridiplantae; Streptophyta; Magnoliopsida; Malpighiales; Euphorbiaceae
Source: RNAcentral